Long non-coding RNA from Homo sapiens (human), 1683 nucleotides. Ensembl annotates it as long intergenic non-protein coding RNA 3025. The record is from Ensembl. NCBI's taxonomy places the organism in Eukaryota, Metazoa, Chordata, Mammalia, Primates, Hominidae.
AUUACUCCCCGUAAUAGACAGAUAUGACUCCCCAUCGUAGAGCACGAGGUGUACACCCGCCCUGUGAUUUUCUUCCUCAUAUUCAGAGACCGAGAGGUUGAUGUCACUCCCAAUAUCGGAGGAAGUAUACACCCCCGUGUGAGAUGGUCCUUAAUAAUAUUCCACGGCGGAGGGGGUGAUAUGACUACAUACAUGGCAGAAAGUGGAAACCUCCCAGGGAUAUUGUUCCCACGAUCCUGGAGGGAAGAAGAUGAUGUUACUUUCAAUAUGACAGAAGGUGGAUGAAGUGGUGGACUGCCCCUCCACACCUGUGGACACGCCCCCACUGAUAUUCCUUCUAAUUGCAGCGUGGGAGAGGAGGAUAUGACACGCGAUAUCGCAGGGAGUAGAAACACCCCUGUGAUACUGUUCUUAAUAUUCAGGGAGGAAGAGGAUGAUAUUACUCCCAAUACAGACGGGUGUACACCCUCUGUACACCGAGGGUGUACACCUGUCUGUGAAAGAGUUCGUAAUCUCCAGAGGGGGAGAUGAUAUUACUCACAAUAUGGUAAAGAGGCUGUGAGUCCACGGAGGAUCCUCAGAGCCAGCGGGGGAAGAGGGGCUGGCUCUCAGUCCCCGCCUCGCGGGGGUGACUCCCCCCAGUGCGAUGGGGGUCCUAAGAGCCAGUGGGGGAAGAGGGGCUGGCUCUGAGACCCCGCCUCGCGGGGGGUGCCUCCCCGCCCUGUGAUGGGGGUCCGAAGAGCCAGAAGGCUUAGAGGGGCUGGCUCUCAGUCCCCGCCUCGCGGGGGGUGCCUCCUCCCCCUGCGAUGGGGGUCGUAAGAGCCACUGGGGGAAUAGGGGCUUGCUCUCAGUCACCGCCUCGCGGGGGGUGCCUCCUUUCCUUUCUACAUAGACACAGUGACAGUCUGAUCUCUCUUUCUUUUCCCUACAGAUGGACACGCCCCCACUGAUAUUGUUUUUAAUGCAGCGUGGGAGGGGAGGAUAUGACACGCGAUAUCGCAGCUGAGUGCCACGUGCUGACGUCACUAAGAUCAAUACAGCAAACUCUGAAAGAUGGACAGAGAGACAGGAGAUGGUCCUUUAUAAUGCAGUGUGAUCUGUGCUGCAAUAGAGAUGGAAGAGUGUUCUGAUCGGCUGGAAAACAACGCACAUGGGAAGCUGUACAGAAAUGAGUGGGGAAAGUUUUGGAAGCUAGAAGUUCAAAACGAGGUGUUGGCAGCACCAUGCUCUCUCUGAAGAUGCUAGGAAGAAUCUGCUCCAUGCCUUUCCAUUCGCUUCUGGGGUUUCCUGCAAGCCCUGACAUUCCUUGGCUUGUAGAUGCAUCACCCCAGUUUCCGCCCCCAUCAUCACAUGGCCUCCUCUCUGUGUGUGCCUCUGCGUUCCCUCUAUUCUUCUUCUAAGGACACCGACACCAGUCAUAGUGGAUUAAGUGUCCACUCCUAACCAAUUACAUCUGCAACAACCCUAUUUCCAAAUAAAGUCACAUUCUAAGAUUCCUAGGGAGAACAUGAAUUUUUGGGGGUGUGUGGAUACUGUUCAACCUGGGACAUGGAGUAAAUAAAUGGCAAGGAAGAUUACAGAUGACUUUAAGCUAAAGAGGGAGAUAGGGUUAAAUGUAGGACUUUUUUUUUCCAGGACGGGAGAGGUUUAAACAUGUUACUACAUUGAAUAAAUGAAAUAACC